This 85-nucleotide transfer RNA is filed under the name Felis catus (domestic cat). It matches the Rfam family "tRNA". Rfam says of the family: Transfer RNA (tRNA) molecules are approximately 80 nucleotides in length. Lineage: Eukaryota; Metazoa; Chordata; Mammalia; Carnivora; Felidae. The record is from Rfam by way of RNAcentral.
GCCUGGGUGGCUCAGUCAGUUGAGCAUCUGACUUCAGCUCAGGUCAUGAUCUCACAGUUUGUGGGUUUGAGCCCUGCAUCAGGCU